UACGUAGGGUGCAAGCGUUGUCCGGAAUUAUUGGGCGUAAAGAGCUCGUAGGCGGCUUGUCGCGUCGGCUGUGAAAACCCGGGGUUCAACCCCGGGCCUGCAGUCGAUACGGGCAGGCUAGAGUCCGGUAGGGGAGACUGGAAUUCCUGGUGUAGCGGUGAAAUGCGCAGAUAUCAGGAGGAACACCGGUGGCGAAGGCGGGUCUCUGGGCCGGAACUGACGCUAAGGAGCGAAAGCGUGGGGAGCGAACAGG
Molecule: ribosomal RNA, 253 nt
Filed under: uncultured bacterium
Lineage: Bacteria
Description: partial 16S ribosomal RNA
Rfam family: Bacterial small subunit ribosomal RNA
Source: RNAcentral